Molecule: non-coding RNA, 95 nt
Filed under: human gut metagenome
Description: THF riboswitch
Rfam family: THF (Tetrahydrofolate) riboswitch aptamer
About the family: THF riboswitch presents a pseudoknot that joins P1-P2 and the loop of P3 and two THF binding.
Source: RNAcentral
GGAGUAGGAACAGUGCGUUAAGUACCGGUCGGAUGGGAGGUUGCCGCCGGGCGAAGGUAUCCUCGGAUACCGCGAUACUGUUACCGCAACCGCCU